RNAcentral lists this long non-coding RNA (1671 nucleotides) under Equus caballus (horse). RNAcentral describes it as "lncRNA (ENSECAG00000059438.1)". Lineage: Eukaryota; Metazoa; Chordata; Mammalia; Perissodactyla; Equidae. The record is from RNAcentral.
UUUUAUUUAAUAUUUUCAGAAUAUCUAUGGUACAGACAGUAUUAUUAGCUCUGUUUUACCCAGGAGAUCUUGAGACAUGAAGUAAUAUCUAAGCCCUCCCAGAGAGGAAGUCAUGGAGCCCAGAUUUAAAUCCAUUUUCUUAGGGAAGGAUAUUGCAAGAAGAGCGAGUCUGAUAAGCACAGAUAGAGGACCAGAAAAGAAGUCUACCAAUAUGGGCUUGAGUACAUGCAACAGAAAAAAGCCUGCAUAGAGAAAGGACUACAUUAUAGGAAACUUGGGAUAUCAUGCUAAGAAACUGGACUUAAUUCUAUAAACCAUGGGAAGCAUCAGAAGGAAAUUUAACACGAAAGUUGAAUAAUAGUUAUGUCUUUAGAAAAUUACUCCAAGAGAAGGAGAGAAGAUGAAAUCCUGGUUCAGCUUCUUCAGAGGAAUGUGGCUACAUCAACAAGUUUAAAUGUAUGUCUAUUUCCUUUUGGCUCCUUUCUACCUAGAUUUUACUAGAUCUGAUCCAGCGAUUUGUACAUUUAUACACGAUUUUGUUAGGAGCCUUGGUUUCUCGCAACUUUGAUAUUGUGACACUCUCUUAUUCGACUUUAUUAUCUGUGCUACCUUCUCCUUGCCCUCUUUUGAAAAUCCAUAUGGCAUCUAUUCAUUUAUUUUGGUUACCAGUAUAAGCUCUCUUGAAAUAUGGCAAAUGAAUAACAUAUUGCAAGACACUGAUCAAAACAUCUUACAGAUUCUCUUUCCCUGUCUCUGUGGAGAGCUCAUUUCAAAUAAGCGAGCAAUUGUGCCUAGUUUCUGCUCUCACCCUUGCUAAACUCCUCCAAACAGCUAUGCAACUCUGGUUCCUGUUCCUCUUCCCUCUCCUUCCAACCUUUUCAAGCUAGUGUUCUUUGAACCCGUAGCUCUUCAGCAUUUCUAAAGUAGAUAAAGCUAAUCUUUCUGAGCUCUUUCCAUUUUCCUCUCCAUUCCUUAUCUAGAAUAUAGGAAAAAAAUACUGGAAUAACAAGGUGGAGAAGGUUCAAAAACUUAGCUUUCUCCUUGCCUCUUCUCUUCUUUGCCUCUAUCUCUGUCCCCCUCUCAUAUAAAUAUGUCCCCAAAAUUACAUGGGAGACACUUAUACUAAAAAAUUAUUCAUGUUUUAUCUGAAAUUCAAAUUUAACUGAGUGUUCUGCAUCUUUAUUCGCUAAAUAUGGCAACCCUAUUUACUGGGAGAGUUAUAAUUUCAUGUAAUUUUUUUCUUUUCAAUAAAUAUAUACAUUUAGCUGUUAUGUAAGUUUUAUUAAGAAUAAAUUGACAAAUUAGGUAAAAAUCUUAUUUUUGACUAUCUAUUCAAAUUUGUGAUUCUGCGAAUAUGGCCAGUAUAAAGAUCCUUGUAAAACACAUUGUAGUUAUCUAUUUACCUGCAUUCUUCUUUAAUCCAUGACAUCAAAAAGGAAAGGACCAUACUUCACUCAUUUUUGUAUUACAUAGUGUUGGCACAUAGUAGAAGCUUAAUAAAUAUUUCUUGAACAGACUGCAUACUUACAAAAUGGUAGGCUGGCCCAGCAACAAAAGUGUAUGUGUGUGUGUGCACGUCCAUGCAUGCAUGUGUGCGUGUGAUUCAGGAGGGCAUAACAUGUACUGAACGCUAACUUUAUACCAGCACCCUGCUAAAAGCACAGCACCAAC